UUCUUGAGUUCUUCUUUUUUUUUUUUUUUUUAAGAUUUAUUUAUUUAUUUAUUAUAUGUAAGUACACUGUAGCUGUCUUCAGAUGCACCAGAAGAGGGCAUCAGAUCUCAUUACAGAUGGUUGUGAGCCACCAUGUGGUUGCUGGGAUUUGAACUUCGGACCUUCGCAAGAGCAGUCGGGUGCUCUUACCCACUGAGCCAUCUCACCAGCCCUUCUUGAGUUCUUUAUAUAUAUUGGAUAUUAGUCCCCUAUCUGAUUUAGGAUAGGUAAAGAUCCUUUCCCAAUCUGUUGGUGGCCUUUUUUGUCUUAUUGAUGGUGUCUUUUGCCUUACAGAAGCUUUGCAAUUUUAUGAGGUCCCAUUUGUCGAUUCUCGAUCUUACAGCACAAGCCAUUGCUGUUCUAUUCAGGAAUUUCCCCCCUGUGCCCAUAUCUUCGAGGGCUUAAGCGUCUCUUAUCUGUAGAACUGGGGCAGUGUUGCCUGGCUGUUAGAGAAGAAGAGGCUAGGCAGACAGAUAAGGUUGGAGCUGGGUCAGGGGUCAGGGGUCAGGGGUCAGGGAGAAACGGCCCACGGAAAUCAAAGCGUACAUGCACAGUGAUUGGGUUUUUACAGACCUCAUGGCCCGCUUUCUCACGGAGUGCAGUAAGAAUCAGUUACUUUAAAUUUUUAAUUCUACUCCUCCUGCAUUUUCUUUCAUAGCAGAUGUAGUCAUUAGGCCCAAGAAGUCAUUAAAGUGUUUAAUAAGGUUAUUAAAUUGACUAACAGUGCCUUUGGAAGCCAUUUCCAUAGGAAAUCCAUAUGAUUCCAGGUAUGGGAUAUGGGGCUGUCCUCUGUGGCGGACAGCCUGUCAGCGUCUCCGUGAAGGAUGGCAGGCAGGUCGUGAGGGAUGCGUCUAAUUAAAGAGAUUAUAGGUGAACCUCGGCUGUCUGGGCAUGCUGUUCGUAGCUGGAAGUGUGUUGAAAGUUCACUAAUUCCUACUAAUUGCAGGGUGGAGGAGAAGAGGUCCAUCCAAAUUAUGGAAUAUUUUAAAAUAAAUGCACUUUUAUUACAUUCGGGUACAUAUUUUAACUCCAACUAGGCCAACAAAUUGUUGCCCUGCACAAGUCUUAGGGGACAAAGUUAUUGAGGGUAUCAGAGUGAUUUUCAAUUAUUUCUAUGUAAAUAGGCAUUUCUGAAGUUCUUCAGGGUGUUUGAAGACAGUUGGUUGUCAUAGAUCUUAAGCACUUCACCGGCUACCUUCUAUGGUUAAUUGGCACACCUUUGGAGGAUGGGAUGGGUAAAUUAAGAUAAACUUGAAGCUAUUCUAGGGAAUAACUUAAUUCAAUGAUAAGUGGUGUCCAAGAGGCCAGGUGGAAGAGGUUUUUUAUUUCAGCUCAAGUUUAAUUUUGUUUUCCCCAUGAAGGCAAUUUGCUCAUUGGUGCAGGCACCCGCUGAUUGGCUGACUGAUGUUGGUAGAGAUACUGAAGGUGUCAGGCAUUCUUGUCUUGAAAGCCAGCCCAAGUUGCUUAUGGUAGGAUCCAGGAGAAGGAGCCAGGCCCACUGGUUAGUGCCGUCCAGCACUAGGAGCCAGGGAGCAAGAGACUCUCCUAGGACAGUCAAAUAAAUCACACCAGGAGAGAUCUGAUGAGCACACGCCAGAAAAAGGUUAGGGUAGGAAGCAGAAGGAAGAAAAAGAAAACAGCCCGGCUUUAGUAAUCCAGGUAGGAAGACCAGUGUUCAAGGGCAUACAUGACACGAGGCCCUGUUGCAAUCCUGGAGUCCUCUGCCCAACUUCAGGCAGCUGUUAAUGGAGUCUUGCUCUCCCCAGCAAUGGUCACCACUUACGGAACUGCUGGAAAGCAGAGCCUUGUGUGGGUCUUUAGCUUUCUGUCCUAGGAGGCUGUUAUCUGCGUGAGUCAGGGUGGGGUGAGGGGACUGUUGCCCUAGGGAGGAUUUAGGUACACAGGAAGAAGGUGUGACGGAGUGGACCAGUCUGUGGCUGGAGCCUUAAGUCAGAGAAAUCUGGGUUUGGAAACUGAGGUGUGUGUUGGGGGAGCCUGAGUUAGGAAUGAGAGUUCAAAGCCAGUUUGGGUUAUGUAGUGACUUGGAGGGAGGGAAGGAAAGAAGAAGGAAGGAAGGAAGGAAGGAAGGAAGGAAGGAAGGAAGGAAGUUAGGGAGGAAGGAAGGAAGGAAGGGAGGGUGGAUGGGCGGGCCAGUGUGAUCAUGGUGAUUUGAGACAAGGUCUCUCUGUAGCCCUGGCUGGCCUGGGACUCACCAUGAGGUGAUUCUACUCCUGAGUGCUGGAAUUAAUGAUGUGUACUGAUAGACUUGGAUUAAAUUUUUAAAUUUUUCUCCCCCUCCCAAACCCCAUUUCUUUUUCUUAUAUUGAAACUGGUUUUUCUCCUUCAUUAACAAAGCCUAGAUUAGAUUUUCUUCUUUCUUUUCUCCUCCCUUCCUCCCUCCCCCUCCCUUUCCCCUCCCCUUCUUUUUUUUCCUGAGUCAGGGCUUCUUUCUCUAUGUAGCCCUGGCUGUCCUAGAACUUGCUUGCCCAUAGACCAGGGUGACCUUGAGUCCAGACAUCUUCCCGCCUCUACUUCCCUGUGUGCCUGACUUGUUUGGAACUCAGUAUAGGGCCAGGGGCCUUGAACCCAGGACGAUCCUGCCUCCACCUCCUGAGGGCUGGGAUUUAUAAGUCUGAGCCUCCGUGCCUGGCUCCCACUUCUGCUCACGGUGCUCGAGGCCCUGCCAUUUCAAUGCUGGCCCAUGUUUUCCAUCUCUGUUCAUGUGUGACCCUGAGUGGUUGGAAAGAGUUGGCUUAUGGUCGACUCAUCGGAGAAUCUGUGCUUCUUCCAUGGAAAACUGGUGCUACCAAUACCCUCUGUGGGAACGUGGCUUCCACGGGACACACUGACUCGGAACCAACCGUCCCUUAGUCCUCCACUAGGCACGGUGCCAAGGACGAUACUACUUUUGAGGGCCAAUGAGACUUAGAAUUUCUUUUAAAAUUAGAAGAGAGAACUUUUAGGUCAAGGAAAGGCCCGUAAAAGCCUGAAUGGUUCGGAGCCCUAGGUGUGCAGGUUUGGGAGGCUGGGAUGGGGGUGUGGUCUUCUGAAAGCUCGUGGUCUUCUCUUCCCAGUCUAUUUAUUUGUUGAGAUUGGAUGUGUGGUAUAGCUGUGAGCCCUAACUCCCUGUCCAUUACUCUCUUCUCUUCCUUUAUUCCCUCUCCUUCCCCCUUCCUAACCAAGCAAACAUAGAUUUAUUGAUUUAUUUGUAUUUUUUUUUUCAGGAUGGGGUUUCUCUGUGUAGCCCUGGCUGUCCUGAAACUCGCUCUGUAGACCAGGCUGGCCUUGCCUCUGCCUCCCUAGGCCCCCGAGGGCGUGCAGUGAGACUGACUUCUCAGAUGCAGGAUUAGGGGUGUGCUGCUUUCUAACACCAGACCUGCUGGAUGCAGUGUUACUGUCAGCAAACAGGAACUGCUUCUCUGCUUUUGAAAAGUCUCUGACGGACUGAAGAAAACCUCUUGUUUAUUAUCUGAGCAACAGCACAGAGGUCUGUCCAAACCCAUGGCCUGCCUCCCUCUUCUCUUUUGAAUUUUCUAAAAAAAUUAAAAUUUUUUUGUGUGUCUAGGUGUUCUUUCUGCAUGUAUAUCUGUGCACCACAAGCACACAGUGCCCAGAAGACAGGGUCAAAUCCGCUAGGAACUGGAGUGCUGGGACGCCAGGAAGAGCAACGAGCGCUCUCUCCAACUCCUUUCUUCUACUCUUACUAUCUUUGAAAACAAACACAAUUAUCCACAAUGUUUUUUUUUAAAUGUGUUUACUUACUGAUUUAUUUUGUUGUUUUGACUCGGACUCUGGCUCUGUGGCUGAGCCUGGCCUGGAAUUUAUGCCCCACCCCCACGCCUCUGUCCCCCCAAGUGCUGGGGUUGCAGGUGUGCCCUUGUGCCUCUGCUGUAGAAAACGUCCCCUUUACUCAAACACAAAGAUGAAGGGAAAGUGACUUGAUGUAUAGAAAAUGUAAUUAAAAAUUGUGAGGGAGAGGGUGUGUGGCUCGGCUGGGCAGUUUCCAGUCCCUAGUGCUUGCUUUUCAAAAGACCUUUGUUGCUUCUCUUUAUUUGCUAGACAGGCCCUAGGUGUUUGAGGUGGUGUUAGUAACUGUUGCACUAAAAAGCUGAGACAGAUGGCAACUUAUUUUUCAAAGAUUGAGCCUUCAGGACCAGUUUCAGAACUAUCUUCACACACAGGUCAUACGCACUCUCCGCUCAGUGUUGCAUUAUUUAGAAGUUUCCUUGAGGAAAAUACGU
RNAcentral lists this long non-coding RNA (4280 nucleotides) under Mus musculus (house mouse). Its description in RNAcentral is "long non-coding RNA chr6:51571429-51575709". Lineage: Eukaryota; Metazoa; Chordata; Mammalia; Rodentia; Muridae. The record is from RNAcentral.